RNAcentral lists this ribosomal RNA (497 nucleotides) under uncultured bacterium. RNAcentral describes it as "partial 16S ribosomal RNA". It matches the Rfam family "Bacterial small subunit ribosomal RNA", at positions 28 to 507 of the family's 1533-position model. The record is from RNAcentral.
GAUGAACGCUGGCGGCGUGCCUAAUACAUGCAAGUCGAGCGAAAAGAUGAGGAGCUUGCUCCUCUGACGUUAGCGGCGGACGGGUGAGUAACACGUGGAUAACCUACCUAUCAGACUGGGAUAACUUCGGGAAACCGGAGCUAAUACCGGAUAAUAUAUUGAACCGCAUGGUUCAAUAGUGAAAGACGGUUUUGCUGUCACUUAUAGAUGGAUCCGCGCCGCAUGAGCUAGUUGGUAAGGUAACGGCUUACCAAGGCGACGAUGCGUAGCCGACCUGAGAGGGGGAUCGGCCACACUGGAACUGAGACACGGUCCAUACUCCUACGGGAGGCAGCAGUAGGGAAUCGUCCGCAAUGGGCGAAAGCUUGACGGAGCAACGCCGCGUGAGUGAUGAAGGUCUUCGGAUCGUAAAACUCUGUUAUUAGGGAAGAACAAAUGUGUAAUUAACUAUGCACGUCUUGACGGUACCGAAUCAGAAAGCCACGGCUAACUACGUG